This 58-nucleotide ribosomal RNA is filed under the name Ascobolus immersus. RNAcentral describes it as "partial 28S ribosomal RNA". The record is from RNAcentral. Lineage: Eukaryota; Fungi; Ascomycota; Pezizomycetes; Pezizales; Ascobolaceae.
UUGACCUCAGAUCAGGUAGGGAUACCCCCUGAACUUAAGCAUAUCAAUAAGCGGAGGA